Molecule: ribosomal RNA, 433 nt
Filed under: uncultured bacterium
Lineage: Bacteria
Description: partial 16S ribosomal RNA
Rfam family: Bacterial small subunit ribosomal RNA
Source: RNAcentral
AACGAACGCUGGCGGCAUGCCUAACACAUGCAAGUCGAACGAGACCUUCGGGUCUAGUGGCGCACGGGUGCGUAACGCGUGGUAACCUGCCCUUAGGUUCGGAAUAACUCCCCGAAAGGGGUGCUAAUACCGGAUAAUGUCUUCGGACCAAAGAUUUUUCGCCUUUGGAUGGGCCCGCGUUGGAUUCGCUAGUUGGUAGGGUAAAAGCCUACCAAGGCGACGAUCCAUAGCUGGUCUGAGAGGAUGAUCAGCCAGACUUGGAAUGAGACCCGGACCAGACUCGUACGGGAGGCAGCAGUGGGGAAUAUUGGACGAUGGGCGAAAGCCUGAUACAGCAAUGCCGGGUGAGUGAUGAAGGCCUUAGGGUUGUAAAGCUCUUUUACCCGGGAUGAUAAUGACAGUACCGGGAGAAUAAGCUCCGGCUAACUCCGUG